AUUGAACGCUGGCGGCAGGCCUAACACAUGCAAGUCGAGCGGAUGAAGGGAGCUUGCUCCUGGAUUCAGCGGCGGACGGGUGAGUAAUGCCUAGGAAUCUGCCUGGUAGUGGGGGAUAACGUCCGGAAACGGGCGCUAAUACCGCAUACGUCCUGAGGGAGAAAGUGGGGGAUCUUCGGACCUCACGCUAUCAGAUGAGCCUAGGUCGGAUUAGCUAGUUGGUGGGGUAAAGGCCUACCAAGGCGACGAUCCGUAACUGGUCUGAGAGGAUGAUCAGUCACACUGGAACUGAGACACGGUCCAGGCUCCUACGGGAGGCAGCAGUGGGGAAUAUUGGACAAUGGGCGAAAGCCUGAUCCAGCCAUGCCGCGUGUGUGAAGAAGGUCUUCGGAUUGUAAAGCACUUUAAGUUGGGAGGAAGGGCAGUAAGUUAAUACCUUGCUGUUUUGACGUUACCAACACAAUAAGCACCGGCUAACUUCGUG
RNAcentral lists this ribosomal RNA (484 nucleotides) under uncultured bacterium. RNAcentral's name for it is "partial 16S ribosomal RNA". It matches the Rfam family "Bacterial small subunit ribosomal RNA", at positions 30 to 507 of the family's 1533-position model. The record is from RNAcentral.